UCGGAUGUAAUUUUAAAAGAACAAUUAAGCUAGGAUCAUGAAACACGAUUGAAGUAUGAAGAUGAUAUCUCGGAUAUAAACGAAAAGAUAUUUGAAGAAAUAAUAAUUGCUAUAUCCUGAAGACAAAUUAAUUUCAAGAAAAUGUGAAGAAUCAUCAUCAAAAGAAGGAAAUACCUGCUGCUCUGUCAGUAAUUAUGCAAUCUACUGUCUUAGAAAAUGAUUUACAAAAUAUAUCUAUUACGAAAUAGAAACGGAAUACAAAGAGAUAGAUGUAAUAUGUACAUAUUUACCCAAGUAAAUAAUACUUUUUUAUUCAUCGAAA
RNAcentral lists this long non-coding RNA (322 nucleotides) under Polistes fuscatus (common paper wasp). RNAcentral describes it as "uncharacterized LOC122526739". The record is from RNAcentral. Lineage: Eukaryota; Metazoa; Arthropoda; Insecta; Hymenoptera; Vespidae.